This is an RNA transcript of Dermochelys coriacea (leatherback sea turtle), 3611 nucleotides long. It is a transcript of the gene named TM2 domain containing 1, with no coding region annotated. The record is from RefSeq and is a predicted model, not a curated record. Lineage: Eukaryota; Metazoa; Chordata; Testudines; Dermochelyidae. The transcript has 8 exons.
GGUGGCUCGGCAAAGGGCACGGCUUGCCUUCAGCGCGAUUGACAAUAUAUGGCAGCCAUCUUUGAUGUGGGCAAAGUACUCAGCUGCACGCUGAGCCGUCCUUCCCCUGCGAGACAGCCUAGGGCUGAGGCCGCGGCGGGCGGGCUUGGUUUCCAUGAUGGUGGCCGCCCGGCUGAGGCGACGGCUCCUGCUGUUGAAGAGGCGUCAAGCCGCGGCGGCGGCCCGGUUGCUGGGCAUCCUGUGGCUGGCGUGUGUCGCCGCGGAGGGCGUUGCCGGCGGGGAGCCUCCGCUCAAGUGCGACGAGCUGAGGCUGGGGCAAUAUAUUUGUGAAGAUCCCAAAAUAGACAAUAGCACACAAGAACCACUGAAUUGUACAAAUCAGACAGCAUACGUUCCAUGUCAUCCAGCACCAAAUAUUACUUGUAAGGAUCACAGUGGCAAUGAAAACAACUUUACUGGAAAGGAAGUUGGAUUUUACAAACCUAUUGCAUGUCGUAAUGUAAAUGGUUACUCAUACAAAGUGGCAGUGGCUCUGUCUUUAUUUCUUGGAUGGUUGGGAGCAGAUAGAUUUUAUCUUGGGUAUCCUGCCUUAGGUUUGUUAAAGUUCUGCACUGUAGGAUUUUGUGGAAUUGGUAGCCUAAUUGAUUUCAUUCUCAUUUCAAUGCAGAUUGUUGGACCUUCUGAUGGCUCUAGUUACAUUAUAGAUUACUAUGGAGCAAGGCUUACCAGGCUGAGUAUUACCAAUGAGACAUUCAGAAAAACACAGAUGUAUCCUUAAGUCUGGCAGGAAGUAUCAUGUACACGCAGCUUCAUUUAGUCCAUUUCUGGAUCCACUGCCCUUCCUGUUGCUUCUGCUGCAAUUUCUAUCACUAUUCUAUACACACAAUGAUGUUGGGAACAUUACAGUUGUGUGCUUAAACACUCAAUUGGGGAAAUGUCAAAGAUAAGGUUGCACAGGCAAUGAGACCUCUUUCAAAUCCCUUGCAUUUACUGAGAGGAAGACAUACAGAAAACAUGUAAUGGGAAGCCACUGUCUACUAAGGACCUGACUGAUACCAACGUCUGUGUGACUGACUGUCCCUACAUAGUCUGAAGAGAGCAGGACUACCCCAUUGUAUGGCAAUAGCAGAAGCCGGGAAAAGGAGGAAUCUCUUUUUAUCUUUUAGGGCUGUCAUUUCAUGAUCUCAUCCAUUGUAGCCCUAUUAAGAGGAUGAUGUGCACCACUUUUCAGUUAUUUUGUUAAAUAAGCAUGAGCAAUGAACAUCAUGCUAACAGACAAUUCCUAGUAUCUAAUACGAUAUCUUGAAUUUAAAAGCAUGUGGUAAUGUAAGUGUAUAUCUGGGAAGUAUGGGGGCUGGGAUGAAAAGUGACUGACUUGACAUUUGCUGACUUUCUCCCAGCUCCUUUGCAAAAGUAGGAACAGAAUCAGAAUAAAAAAUGUUUGUUUUACAGCUGUACCAAGUUACAGCACACUCUCUCUCCUCCUUCCCACUUGCAUCAAGUACAUCCUGUACUUUUGGCAACAUGUUGACUGGAUAUUUAAAAGCUGUGAACUGUUCUGAAAGUUUCACAUACAAGGUUAUGAGCCAUGUGUGUUUGAUCAAAAUUCAAUUACUGCACUGUACCAUGCUUGGAAACCUAUCAUCCCAGGUUAUGAAGUAUGACGAAAUAGGCUAAUCUAAUUGGUUCAGUAUGGGAGCAGUAUCAACCAAGCUUGUUAUGAUAAAUAGCUUCCUGUGUUAAAGGUUCUCUAGAGCUUAAGUAUCUUGGCUCACCUCCUUCCACAAAAUAAGAAUAUUGUUCCCUGAGAACAGUUACAUCACUGUCCCUCUUCUACAAUCAGAAUAAAGGGGUUGUAGAAUUUUUCAUUUUGUUACUUCUUGAAAAUAUAAACAAUGGAUGGAUAUCUGCCCCAUUUCCCACCUUCCCACUUCUACCUCUUCUCUCCUCACUGCCCCCUCCCCUCCUCCAGCCAAGACUAGAUCAUCUUGUACUCACCCUGGUUGUUGGAUCUGUUUUACUACUCUUUGAGACAAUCCCAAAGAGGGCAUUAAACUUGCCAUGGGCUGGAGUUUGGGAGUUGUAUGGUUUUGUAUUUGGGGGAGUAGAAUUAAAUGGUGAAGCAUAUUAAUAUUUUCAAUCAUCUAAUAAAACUGCCUUGUCACAAUGAAUUGUAUAUCUGUGGAAAUGUUGCUAUCCACUUAGAAUUUUUAUUUUAGUAGUACCGGUAGUUUAAGUCCAUUGUGCAAGUGCUGAAAUAAGAGUAAAGAUGGGCUAGUGUUCUAAGCCGGGAUUUGUGAUUGCUAAAUGUGUCCCUGAAACAAUGAGCUCAGUCCCAUGAGAAGGCACUAGCUCCAUGGUUUUAGCAGGCCCAUCUUUGGCAAUAACUGAUUGUCUGUGAUCCUGAUGUCAGAGUAAUAGACGGUGACAAGGGAUAGAACAUGGAAAAAUGGAUCUUUAUGCUCUCUGGCCACAUGUGUGUUAUCAUGCAUAGGGUGACGAUUUGAGUGAGGUUACAACUACUCAUACUCUCAGAUCCCCUUAGGACAAAAUGAUUGUCUGGUUGCUAUUUUAGCUUAAGCAGAAUACGGUCCGGAUCUUUUUAAACACUUUUAAUAUUAGUGGGACUACUCCCAUGAGUAAAGUUAUUCACAUGCAUAAGUUUUGCGUGAGUGAUUCUUGGUGUUUUCCCCAAGAGUGCUUAAAACCUGAUUAAAUCUGUAUGGUGAUUAAUGUCCACUUACCACCUCUCUCAUACCCCAUUGCAAUUUGGUUUUAAGCUUUGAUCUCAUUUUAGUUCACCAUUUAAAUAUCCUGCUUAACCUUCUGCUUACAAAUGUACAUAAUGCUGAAGUCUGCAUUUCCAGCGUGUAUGAGAUCUACCGCAAAUAAUGGCAUUUAAUUAUAAAAAGCAACAACUUCAGUCACCACAAGAUCGGCUGAUGACUAAGUCCAGCAAUACAAAAUUGGGGAGUGCAGAAUUCACCACAACAGACAAAUAUUCGUGUCCACAUAAGAUAAUAAAUAUGCCUUUCCUAUUCUCCUUAGCACUUUCAAACCCAGAUUUAAUCAAUUCUUUAUUUUACAGUGUUUGUUUUCAUUAUUUUUCUUUAAAAAUGCAAUUAGUCUAAAAAUUGAGAUUCAGUAUAAUUCUCCUCAAAUAUCUCAGAUGAGAGUAAUCCAUUUUAUCUUCGUAAAGUUCCCACAAGAAAUGCUCACAGAGACAGUAGCUUUAACUUCAAAAAUAGAAUGUGACUGUAGGCACUUAUGUUAAUCUCUUUUUUGGCAAAUCAGCUUUUUUGUAUUGGAUCUCGCUUGAUUGAAUAGCACUGGAGCUGCCAGAGUAAAUGCUAUUAUCAGUGUACAGUAAUUAAGGAAAUAGUCCUUGUCACUCUAACAGUGUCCAGGCUGUGUCUACUCUAACAAAGUUAAUGGUAAAGAAAUCUCUUUAAAGAGUAAGCUACUGGAGUGUGGUUACUUUUGACAUGCGGUGAAACUAUGCAGUGUUGAAUUAUAGGUUAUGAGAAAAUGUAUAAAAUAGGCCAAUUGAAACCUAAAUGCAUGCUGAACUGUAAUACAUAAUUACACAACAAAUUAAACAGUUAAACUAC